UCUUCUUUAACACACACGGAUCUGUGUCCAGCGAUCCCGUUCACAGAGUAAAUCCAUGAUUUUAAUCCUUCACGGGUAUCUGUGUUUCGGUUGAUUACUGGGCAGUUCGACGUUAUACGGAGCCAUCUUUCCUGUGGAUGGUUUUUUGGCAAUCCGGUCGACAGAUCUCAGAUUAAAUGCCAGCUUCAGGUGUUCACUCUGGUCUUGAGUUCCCUUUUGGUGAACUCGGCUGGAGAGCCUGGGUGCUGGCGGCGUCAUAUUCCUGAUCCCUUCGCUGAAGCCGUUGGCUCGUGAAGUUGGGGAAAAACCAUGACAUGCCAACAUAC
This 326-nucleotide small RNA is filed under the name Aspergillus glaucus CBS 516.65. Its description in RNAcentral is "A. fumigatus sRNA Afu_309". It matches the Rfam family "A. fumigatus sRNA Afu_309". The record is from Rfam by way of RNAcentral. Lineage: Eukaryota; Fungi; Ascomycota; Eurotiomycetes; Eurotiales; Aspergillaceae.